RNAcentral lists this long non-coding RNA (524 nucleotides) under Polistes fuscatus (common paper wasp). RNAcentral's name for it is "uncharacterized LOC122525893". The record is from RNAcentral. Lineage: Eukaryota; Metazoa; Arthropoda; Insecta; Hymenoptera; Vespidae.
CUGAUAAGCGUAUAAAAAAUGACCGUCCAUAUUUCUUUCUCGAUAUCAAUCCUACCGAUUGGUAUCGAUCAAUACGAUAGAUUAAAUGUGAAAAUAGUAACACAUGUCCUUCGUGUCGUAAUACACACAACUCGAUUAUACUAUACUUAUUAUAUAUAUUAUUAUUAUUAUAUGCUAGGAUUAAACAAGAAAAAAAGUAAUAUGUAAAAUCGAAAAGACUUAUUUAUAGAUCGAUAAGAAAGAUGUUCUCAAAAAGAAGAUUAAAAGUUUUUGAAGUUCAAGACAUGGACUACGAAGUGAAACGCGACGAUGGUUGGGUCACAGGAGCGGACACUGUUAUGGUUAGCUGGUUCGAAAAGAAGGGCUGUAUUACGUAUUCCAUUCUGUCUAACAUGACAUACAAAUACUCUCCAAGUUGUAACACUUUAACCAUAUCGCGGGAAUUAUAAGACAUAAUUUCAAACUAUUCGAACGAUAUCUUGUUUUUUGAACUAUCGCUGCAAUUAAAUGAAAUAAAAACAAAA